AAAAGGAACAAGAAGGGGCAUAUUCCAGAUGAAUCGUAAGCUUUAAUCGACGAUCAAACGUUAAGAUUUAACUUAGGCUUGUAAAACCGUCCGUCAUGAAACCCGCAAUAUUAAGCAGUUUCAUCGUUAUAACACAAACAUUGUUGAAUCAUGUUGUUACUGCUGAUUUACAGAUUUACCGCAUUGAAUGCAUGCGUAAUCUAGAACCCCGCUGUUGUGAAGUACAGUGUGAUUGGCAGAAAGAAAACAUUACAGAAGA
This is a long non-coding RNA of Sinocyclocheilus rhinocerous, 259 nucleotides long. RefSeq lists it as uncharacterized. The record is from RefSeq and is a predicted model, not a curated record. NCBI's taxonomy places the organism in Eukaryota, Metazoa, Chordata, Actinopteri, Cypriniformes, Cyprinidae. The transcript is spliced from 4 exons.